This 336-nucleotide long non-coding RNA is filed under the name Homo sapiens (human). RNAcentral describes it as "HSALNT0218366". Lineage: Eukaryota; Metazoa; Chordata; Mammalia; Primates; Hominidae. The record is from RNAcentral.
CCGAGCUUUCGCGACUCUGCCUCUGCCUGCCGCCUGGACCCUUGUGGGAGCGCGGCUGGAAAAUGCACCAACCGUGUGCCUCAAGCUAACUGUCAAGAAAAGCAUGCGUCAGUUGGCUGGAGUGAGCAAUUCAACUCGUGGAGGAAUGAGAAAUGUUAGCGUUGAGACGAGAAACAUAAAACCCCAGGUUAAGGGCGUCUGUCGCUGCAAACUACAGGUAAACUAGUUGGAAAGCUCCGCAGAUUCUCACGGUGGUGCCCAGCAGGCCAGCCCUAGCUGCCCUUUAACCUGUGACUGAGGAUGAUGCCACUGGCCUCGGCGGUGGCAGUGUUGGUG